GGGUAGUUAUGUCUUUUCCCAUUGUGUUUAGUAUUUUUCCUAUUUCUUUUAUUUUUUUAAAGGGUUCAUCACUUAACAGAGUUAGAACCACGGGUAGACGGAGGCUUCGUCUACGAAAAGGAGGGGCAAAAUCACAAAGUUCAAAAAUUGAGGGCAAAAUCACCAUUAGACUUCACGAUAGGGGCAAGAUCACCAAUCUUCCUUUUUUGAACCUACAUUGAUAAUAAACCUCUUGAAUAACCAAAAAGUUUUUUUUGUUGUCUUUCAUUUUCUUUUGCGUACAGAGCCAGAUCCAGAGACUCACAUACACGCAACCACACUCA
RNAcentral lists this long non-coding RNA (323 nucleotides) under Setaria viridis. Its description in RNAcentral is "long non-coding RNA (SVIR_LNC001613)". Lineage: Eukaryota; Viridiplantae; Streptophyta; Magnoliopsida; Poales; Poaceae. The record is from RNAcentral.